GGGACUAAACCAAGCUCACACAAAAAUUUUCAAAACUUAAACAUUUUUCAAAGUCAUAAAGGUCACAUGCCCGUGUGAGCAGGCCGUGUGCCUCACACAGCAUUAGAAACGCCCGUGUGUUUAGGCCGUGGCAAAACAAGGCAUACAACUGACUUGUCCACACGGCCACAAGACACACCCGUGUGCCAGGCCAUGUGAAAAU
This 202-nucleotide long non-coding RNA is filed under the name Gossypium barbadense (sea-island cotton). RNAcentral describes it as "long non-coding RNA (GBAR_LNC001320)". The record is from RNAcentral. Lineage: Eukaryota; Viridiplantae; Streptophyta; Magnoliopsida; Malvales; Malvaceae.